RNAcentral lists this ribosomal RNA (1204 nucleotides) under Triticum aestivum (bread wheat). RNAcentral describes it as "partial small subunit ribosomal RNA". The record is from RNAcentral. Lineage: Eukaryota; Viridiplantae; Streptophyta; Magnoliopsida; Poales; Poaceae.
UACUGCGUGCCUCCAUAUGUUUGUUUACACUUCUUAUGCCACAGAUAGUCACAACGUGACUAUCUCGUCCCCUCUUUUUUUUUCUGCCGCUUGCUUUGUUACCGUCGGCUUCCUCCAGACUUCGACGAGCCGAACUGCCACUCGGGCAAGCACUAGGCACAUGCGUACCGCGACGUCUACUUUCCGCAGCCGAUGCUCAUGCACCUCGUCCUGGACAAGUGGUUCCCGCUCGAGGAGGCGUUCAGGUUGGGCCACGUGUACUUCCAGGGCCACGAGUAGGUGCUGCCGUCUGGGCAGACGCUCAGCGACCGGUAGCACGUCAUGCAGCUGCUCCGGACCCGCCGGCGCCCGGGGAGCUAGGAGGGGCGGCUGGGGAUGCUGGCGCGGCGGCGAGCGAAGACCCGGCGGAUGCGGCUGUCGUUCGAGAACGGCCGCACCCAUCCGUAGUACACCCGCCUCUGCCUCCUCCUCUCCCGCCUCUUCCAGCCGCUGUGCGAGCGCCGAUAGCCGGUCAACCUCCUCCGCAAGCCCUGCACGAGCUUGCCAUUCCGGAAGAAGCGGCCGCUGAGGCAGCCCAUGGAUCUAGAGCAGCAGCCGAGCGUCAACGAGACCAAGCUCCACGACGCCUUCUACAAGCCGCAGCACCAGCAACUCCAGCCGUCCCGAGACGAGAACCGGCGCACCCACCUCGCCAAACCCCUCUGACUAUGCCGGUUCCUCCACCACGGCCUGCAACUGUGCCGCCACCUCAUGGAGUUCUUCGAAGUCAGAGCGGCCCGACCAAGGUGCCAACGGGUCGACGACAGCACUGUUUUAAUGUACAGUCAAUCGUUCAUAUAUGUCGCUAAAAAGACAAAUCCGGUCGAGAUAUUAGUACAGAACGUUCCUAAGUUUCUUACUUGACCAAAGGGAGGACUGUGGUGCAUCUAUGAAGAGGUUUCUCCUACUGUUUAGCAAACAUUCUUUAGUAUUCAUGUAUAUAAGAAACAGUACGUAUAUCAGGACUGUUAUGAUGCCCCGAUAUUACAUCUAUGUUAGUAUAGAUGGCUAGCCACGCCUAUUCUCAUGCGAGUUCCCUAGUAUGUCCAAAUCCGGGAGUCGCCCUCCAUUAUGGAAUGAAGUUACAACACAAAAACGAGAACCGUAUCCAAUGUUAUACUCUCAAGUUGGGAGUCAGGUAACGGGAUGAGCUGAAUAUUUGUCA